Molecule: long non-coding RNA, 5390 nt
Filed under: Sus scrofa (pig)
Lineage: Eukaryota; Metazoa; Chordata; Mammalia; Artiodactyla; Suidae
Description: lncRNA (ENSSSCG00065074312.1)
Source: RNAcentral
GCGCGCCGCGCGCCGUCGAGGUCCCCGCGUCGCCGCCCUCUGCCUUUCGUAACUCGGCGCGGGGUCUGGGUUUGCAGGGCUUUGAAAACGAGCCCCCGGCGCCUUGCGCCCUCUCUUCCGGCGCUCUGGCCGCAGAUUCGGGUAGCGCCGGCCACCGUGGACCAUUUUUCUUUUUUUCCUGCUUCGCGGCGUUCCAGGAUUUUCUCUUCCGGGUCGCUCUGAGGCACGGUCAGGGGUGCCAGCAUUCCCGGUUUGGCAUUGAACCCUCGGACUCUGCAAACACCAUUGAGGGGAAGCCCCCUUUUGCGCGUGCGCCGCGCCUCCUGAGGCCGGGAGCUAAGUCGGGCUGGCAGGGCCAGGUGGCACAUAAGCUCUGCCUCUGGGUUUCUAUUUGGCGUCAUCCGUGUGCAGAGGCGGCUGAGAUUUCGGCAACACAACAGCCUGGCCUUGACUGCAGCUCCAUCCCCAGCUCGGUGGCCCUCUUCGUCUGCAUUUUUCCCCCUCCAGAGGUUGCCUAGGAGGUUUGUGUAAUUGCCUUGUGCUCGGGAGGGAAAAGAUAUAUAUUUGUUCCAGCACAUCAAGGACAAAAAUAAAACGAGACUGGGGGAAAUGGUUUCUUUGCAAGGCAGCUAUUUAAUUGAUCUAUUUGGAAUUCAUAUGCCCUGUUGCUGCAUGCUAAUUGCAAGCCAUUUUGAAGCAGAAUCAGCUUGGAUCACAAACUGAUUUAAGGCCAUGGAACUGGCCUGGCCAGCUCGGGCGAGCCGUGUACAUGAACUCCCUGGUUUUACCAGGCCUGGGGAGAGAGGACUUCUUUGGUGAAGGCAGAACAACAAGCCUAGAACUCCAGGGGUGACACAGACCUUGGCGGCCUUUCAGAAGCGACAAGCCAAGUUUUGUUUUCUCUUCCUUGCAUCCCUACAGCAGCGGGUAACACACUGGCACCGCACCCCCUACCCACCAACUCCCCCCCCCCGCCACCCCAGCACCAGAGCACUCUCAGCUGCGUCUCCAUCUUCAAAACAGCCUUCUGGAAAGACGGAUGGCAUGACCUCCAAUCUAACGGCCAACUCCAGACGCCUGGCAACACCCCCGCUGCAGCUUCAUCGUGCAGCAUCACACAGACAGGCAAACCGUCUGAUGAGGAUAUUUUGCAUGCGUGUUGCCAGUGAUGCAAACCGAUGUCAAGCCAAGCAGUGGUAAUGCCGUCAUUUGACCAACAGAAAAAUACAAAUAAAGAACACUUUAAGAUUUGUAUGCUGCUAUCAUUUACUCAGAACUCCCUUUAUCCCAGGAAGAGAAACAGAGAUAAACAGUUUCUGCAGUUGGACCAUGUGAGUUAACAUCCCGAUUGACCGUCACUUGCAGAGGGCACAAGGGGCUAUUAUUUAGCCUGUCUGAGCUCAGGAGCCUGGUCUGGAAAAUAUACAUAAUGACAUCUCCCUCCCAGGCUAGAUGUAAAGCUGUUAGCACAGCAUCCAGAGCCUGACUGGUGUUUCGUGAGGCUGUUCGGGGGGCCCGAGUUUCCUCAUGUGCCCAGAGCUUUGAAGACCCUUGUCUAACCCAUGUUCGCCCUGCCCCUGUGCCGUGGACGCACGGGUUUGCUGACAUGCUUCCAUAGUCCUGCCUGACUUUCCUCUUCGCCAGGAAGCACUGCUUCGAACCCUCUUGGGUUCAGAGCUGCCUUCCCUCUGUGAUUCAGCCAUUCUAUAAACGGAUCGCCUGUCGUCUCCUAAAGGCGUUUGGUCUUCUCAAGAGGAUGUGAUGAGGCCAAUGAAGGGAAAAGGCAGUCACUGCUUCCCAAAUGACAGCCCACAGGAGACUUCGUCUUUUAAUUACCACGUCGUUUGCAGGUCUAAUUGCGCAGUAAUUGCCUGAACAUAUGUAGCGACAAGGUGUGUUUACAAGUCACUGGCCGUGCAAUAAAUGGUCCACUGAUUCACGUUGCUCCCAGCCUGCUAUGGUUUUGAAGAUUCGAAUGCCAGCCGUCUUGAUGGGGAGCUAAAAGGGCCCGGGAUCUUUAUCUUCAGCGUCUCCUUGAAAUCUGCUUCCUCCCGUGUCCUUUCAGAAGGAUAUUCUGAUCAGGGCCUAAGGUCCUUUGUUUACUCCUUUGCUCUGUAAACUUCACAUAAGCUUUACUUCAGCAAGGAUGUAAAACAGACACUAACAUCUUGAGGCUUAUUCAUUCCUCAGGAGUAUAUUAACAAGAACGGACCGCAGCUAAACAGCUAGUGUUGACUAGGGCAUGUCUGUGUGUCUCUGUGACUUUAGCCUGACUACAUGCUUUAAGAAGAUUUAUUGGGAUGUCUCAUUAGGGCCAGACAUAAGGAAGUCAUCAAGUAAAGAUUAAUCAGAUGGAAACAUGUUAGAAUUUUUCACUCUUUUUUUUUUUUUUUUUUUUUGCCAUUACGUAUGACCGUGAGAUUAUUUGUUUUUAAUAGUGACUUGGUUCUUGCAUAAGAAAGUCAUUGACUUUUGGGGAAUCAGAUGGUUGGUUUGCAACUGCGUAUCAGCAGCUUAUGUAUGGUUCUUCUGAUCAAGUGAAGAUCUGGGGAGUGAAACGCAUAAAGCAGUGGAAAGUUCAGAGAGAGAUGUUCGAAGGUAGGCUCUGCCCUCUGCAAGUUGCCUGACAACUCCCUGCCACGCACAAGGCCCCAGCUUCUCCAUCCAGAAGAUGACGGGUUUGCAAAAGAUCAGUAACUUGCAGAGAAUACUAUCUGCGAAGCCCGGGGGCUCACAUCCUGUAGCGGCUCAUCCACCCCAGGUUCCUCAACAGGCCAGCUCUGCUUUCAUCUGCUGGUGCCCUGGGCUUUCAAGUUCAAUUAUAAGCAUAACUAUUAUAAAGUAAAGUAGCUCUAAAUUAUGUUGCACUAGCUCUGGACUAGAUCACCACACUGUCACUCUGAGUUGUUCUUACCUUUUUUGGAGCCGAAACUUAUGCUCCAGGAUGUGUGCAUUUGGGAGCUCCAGAAGGAGAAUGAAAGAGAGAGAGAGAGAGACUGAAAGCAAAGAAGGACUCGCUGUGGCACCUGCAAAGAAGCAGGUUCAUCCUGGGCUGGAUGCAGCCCCAUCAAAGGUCGCUUUGGCCACACUCAUGGCGUGGCGACACGAGGCCUGAACGUUUAGCUUGCCACCCUAGGUCCCUCUGGGUCAGAUCAAGACCUGGAACUAUUCCCCAGGAGCAAGCCCAGACUCAGACUUGUGCAUCCCUGCAGCGGCGUGAGGAGCCCCCGGCUCUCCGCGAAGCAGAGGCGCUGGAGGACCCACAGCCUCUCCUCGGCCCUAAGCAGCACUGGGAGCUGGGAGGCCCGCUCUGAGGAUCCCACUUUGCAGGGAGGGAGGCAGGAGGGAGAGGCUCACGGAGCCCCGCACAUGACCUGGGCAUUCGCUACAGAGCUUCCUCCCAGUAACAAAACCCAAGAUGUCUUUCCUCAGCAAGGCUGUCCUCGUGUGUGACCUGGGCUCAUGGGCUGGCUGCCUGGGGAUGGUGCUUGUCCUGGCCCAUGAACAGACAGCACCUCUUCCUUCCCGAUGACAGCAAGGACUACACAGCACACGACGAGUCAUCCUCUGCCUCUUGGGACUUGACGUCCUGCCAAGGGCUGAAAAGGGUGCCUCGCGGACAGGUGUCCCCAGCCUGCGUGCUGCUGGGCCCCAGCCCCUCUUGCCCUCAACAACACAUCUUCGCUUCCCUAGGGGCAUCUUCGACUCAAUGCACCCGCCACCCCCACCCCACCCCGGUCGAUGCGCUUGGAAACACUGAGUCCCAGCCAGACCAUCUCAGUGCUGAAGGAAGCAAAGCAGUGAAAAGAGAAAAAUAUGACCUCAAGGGCUGUGGCUGCCAAGUGGAGACUUGAGACCUCACGGCCAUGGAGGGAGAAAGAGGGGGACUUUUAUAAAACCAUCUGGCAGAUGACCAGCCACCCCCUCGGUGUGUCCCAAAGGGUGAGGGGUCCGGCCAGGAUGGAAACCACACCACAAGGGCUCAGGACUCCACCCCAGGCUGGAUGGACCCAGAAGGACACCCAAAUUCUGCACCUGUGCCCUCCAAGUGUUAAUAAUGAGAGACAAGGCUUAAGUUAGCCAGACUGUGCAUCCCAGACGCAUGAGUGUGCAAACCACAGUAAAACACACUUGGGAUUUUUCUUUGCUUAUUACAUCUGAGGUGUCCUAAAGAACAGUCCCUAAAAAGCAUGAAAGGAAGGCAAAUUCCUGAUGUUUGCUGCCUGUGGUUAAAAAUAGAUGGUAAAAGAUCUUGAUGUGGAAUCUACAAACUGACAGAGGAAGGUGGCAGGGCUUAGUGGUGAGGCCUGUAUCAGAGUCUGCAGAAUGACAAGGCAGCGUCAUAUCCUGCUGGGAGCCCUGGACUCGCAGGGCAUUUAUUACACACCAGGUGCAUUACAGACUAGCUGUAUCAUACGCCACAGGCAUUACAAACUGCAUGCAAUAUACAUCACACACAUGACAAGCCACAAGCAUGGCACACUACAUGCAUAUGCACUGGGUGUAUGAUACCCUAGGUGCUCAAAUUGUGUCAUAACAAGCAGAGGACAGCAGGGAGGAAGAGGACACAAGCAGAGCAACGAGAUCUGUGCCUUCAGGGGCUUGGAAUCCACCUCCAGAGAAGCAACUACCUCCAACAACCAAGGCACCUGUCCGUGCUAUGUGGGGUGACUCUUACUGUCACAUGUGCUGGCAUGUCCAGGAAGUCUUCCAGGAGAACUUGAAGGGAUCGGAGCUGCAGCUCCAGACUGGCCGGGGUGUGCGUGGAGAGGCUCUGCUGUGGACAUGGUCACAGACUUGGCAUCUCUUGGUUCACUGACUCCGACUAGACUGCAAAUUAGCGCGAGUGCAGGAAAAUGGAAUAAGCCGAGGGUCAUCAACCGUGGGUCAUAAAAAGCUCAGUUUUUCUGAAGAAAUGUAUUCCCUUUGUUUUUCAAAAAUAGUAGAUAUGAAUUAUUGGAUGGGUGGAUCCUUGAGGCCCGGAGGAGGGGCCUGGAAUCUCAGCUCAACCUCUGGGCAACAAAACAGAAAAUCCCCCAAAUCGGAAGACGAAACCAGCCACAGCCAAAGGAUCGCAAAUUGGAACGGGAGCACUGAGAACAUCCUGAUCUUACAGCACCGUGGCGCCAUGCUGUCCCCUUCUAACUUGACACAUAUCACGUACCGUCAUGGCUGAGCCCAUCCCUCAUGCAAAUGUAUGAACUUGAUUUUGCUUGAAACCGCUUAAUAAGCAGGACAAAGAUACCGAAGGACAAAGGUUCACACCCACUGGAAACAGUACACCUGGGAGCUUUGCAUCUGAAUCCUUUCCAGUGUGUUUUAUAACGUGCUACUUUUACAAGAAAUAUUUCUGUAGCUAGAAAAAAAAAAAAAAGUCCCCUAUAUUCUCA